This 27-nucleotide small RNA is filed under the name Bombyx mori (domestic silkworm). RNAcentral describes it as "ovarian small RNA-9284". The record is from RNAcentral. Lineage: Eukaryota; Metazoa; Arthropoda; Insecta; Lepidoptera; Bombycidae.
UUAAGCAAUUAAACGCGCCAAUUAUUC